GACGAACGCUGGCGGCGUGCUUAACACAUGCAAGUCGAACGGUGAAGCGCCUUCCUUUUUGGUGGGUGUGGAUGAGUGGCGAACGGGUGAGUAACACGUGAGUAACCUGCCCCCUUCUUCUGGAUAACCGCAUGAAAGUGUGGCUAAUACGGGAUAUUCUGGGUCUGUCGCAUGAUGGGUCUGGGAAAGAUAUUGUUUCGGUGGGGGAUGGGCUCGCGGCCUAUCAGCUUGUUGGUGGGGUGAUGGCCUACCAAGGCGGUGACGGGUAGCCGGCCUGAGAGGGUGGACGGUCACACUGGGACUGAGACACGGCCCAGACUCCAACGGGAGGCAGCAGUGGGGAAUAUUGCACAAUGGGCGCAAGCCUGAUGCAGCGACGCCGCGUGAGGGAUGGAGGCCUUCGGGUUGUGAACCUCUUUCGCCAGUGAAGCAGGCCUGCCUCGUUUGUGGGUGGGUUGACGGUAGCUGGAGAAGAAGCGCCGGCUAACUACGUG
This 494-nucleotide ribosomal RNA is filed under the name uncultured bacterium. RNAcentral describes it as "partial 16S ribosomal RNA". It matches the Rfam family "Bacterial small subunit ribosomal RNA", at positions 28 to 507 of the family's 1533-position model. The record is from RNAcentral.